UACGGGGGGAGCAAGCGUUGUUCGGAUUUACUGGGCGUAAAGGGCGCGUAGGCGGCGCAACAAGUCACUUGUGAAAUCUCCGGGCUUAACCCGGAGCGGCCAAGUGAUACUGUCGUGCUAGAGUGCGGAAGGGGCUACUGGAAUUCUCGGUGUAGCGGUGAAAUGCGUAGAUAUCCGGAGGAACACCGGUGGCGAAGGCGGCUUCCUGGACCGACACUGACGCUGAGGCGCGAAAGCUAGGGGAGCAAACGGG
Molecule: ribosomal RNA, 253 nt
Filed under: uncultured bacterium
Lineage: Bacteria
Description: partial 16S ribosomal RNA
Rfam family: Bacterial small subunit ribosomal RNA
Source: RNAcentral